This 468-nucleotide ribosomal RNA is filed under the name uncultured bacterium. RNAcentral's name for it is "partial 16S ribosomal RNA". It matches the Rfam family "Bacterial small subunit ribosomal RNA", at positions 28 to 507 of the family's 1533-position model. The record is from RNAcentral.
GACGAACGCUGGCGGCGUGCUUAACACAUGCAAGUCGAACGGAAAGGCCCUGCUUUUGUGGGGUGCUCGAGUGGCGAACGGGUGAGUAACACGGGAGUAACCUGCCCUUGACUUUGGGAUAACUUCAGGAAACUGGGGCUAAUACCGGAUAUGAGCUCCUGCUGCAUGGUGGGGGGUGGAAAGUUUCGGCGGUUGGGGAUGGACUCGGGGCUUAUCAGCUUGUUGGUGGGGUAGUGGCUUACCAAGGCUUUGACGGGUAGCCGGCCUGAGAGGGUGACCGGCCACAUUGGGACUGAGAUACGGCCCAGACUCCUACGGGAGGCAGCAGUGGGGAAUAUUGCACAAUGGGCGGAAGCCUGAUGCAGCAACGCCGCGUGCGGGAUGACGGCCUUCGGGUUGUAAACCGCUUUCGCCUGUGACGAAGCGUGAGUGACGGUAAUGGGUAAAGAAGCACCGGCUAACUACGUG